AGCAGCCGCGGUAAUUCCAGCUCCAAUAGCGUAUAUUAAAGUUGUUGCAGUUAAAAAGCUCGUAGUUGAAUUUCGGGAUUUAUCCGUUGGUCGGGCUUUUUGGUCUGUACUGGCGUGAUGGAUUCCUACCUUCUGAAUAACCGGCAUGCCAUUAAUUUGGUGCGCCGGGGAAGCAGGACUGUUACCUUGAAAAAAUUAGAGUGCUUAAAGCAGGCUUAUGCCUGAAUACAUUAGCAUGGAAUAAUGAAAUAGGACGCAUGGUUCUAUUUUGUUGGUUUCUAGGAUCACCGUAAUGAUUAAUAGGGAUAGUUGGGGGCAUUAGUAUUCAAUUGUCAGAGGUGAAAUUCUUGGAUUUAUUGAAGACUAACUUCUGCGAAAGCAUUUGCCAAGGAUGUUUUCAUUAAUCAAGAACGAAAGUUAGGGGAUCGAAGACGAUCAGAUACCGUCGUAGUCUUAACCAUAAACUAUGCCGACUAGGGAUCGGACGAUGUUAAUUUUUUAAUGACUCGUUCGGCGCCUU
This 520-nucleotide ribosomal RNA is filed under the name uncultured Acaulospora. RNAcentral's name for it is "SSU rRNA". It matches the Rfam family "Eukaryotic small subunit ribosomal RNA", at positions 569 to 1089 of the family's 1831-position model. Lineage: Eukaryota; Fungi; Glomeromycota; Glomeromycetes; Diversisporales; Acaulosporaceae. The record is from RNAcentral.